RNAcentral lists this ribosomal RNA (440 nucleotides) under uncultured bacterium. Its description in RNAcentral is "partial 16S ribosomal RNA". It matches the Rfam family "Bacterial small subunit ribosomal RNA", at positions 338 to 795 of the family's 1533-position model. The record is from RNAcentral.
CCUACGGGAGGCAGCAGUAGGGAAUAUUGCUCAAUGGGGGAAACCCUGAAGCAGCAACGCCGCGUGGAGGAUGAAGGUUUUCGGAUUGUAAACUCCUUUUGUUAGAGAAGAUAAUGACGGUAUCUAACGAAUAAGCACCGGCUAACUCCGUGCCAGCAGCCGCGGUAAUACGGAGGGUGCAAGCGUUACUCGGAAUCACUGGGCGUAAAGGGCGCGUAGGCGGGAUAGCAAGUCAGAUGUGAAAUCCUAUGGCUUAACCAUAGAAUUGCAUUUGAAACUGGUGUUCUAGAGUAUGGGGGAGGAAGGUGGAAUUCUUGGUGUAGGGGUGAAAUGCGUAGAGAUGAAGAGGAAUACUCAUUGCGAAGGCGACCUGCUGGAGCAGAACUGACGCUGAUGCUCGAAAGCGUGGGGAGCGAACAGGAUUAGAUACCCGGGUAGUC